AGAGCGAACGCUGGCGGCAGGCCUAACACAUGCAAGUCGAGCGCCCCGCAAGGGGGAGCGGCAGACGGGAGAGUAACACGUGGGAACGUACCCUUCAGUUCGGAACAACCCAGGGAAACUUGGGCUAAUACCGAAUACGUCCGUAAGGAGAAAGAUUUAUCGCUGAAGGAUCGGCCCGCGUCUGAUUAGCUUGUUGGUGAGGUAACGGCUCACCAAGGCGACGAUCAGUAGCUGGUCUGAGAGGAUGAUCAGCCACAUUGGGACUGAGACACGGCCCAAACUCCUACGGGAGGCAGCAGUGGGGAAUAUUGGACAAUGGGCGCAAGCCUGAUCCAGCCAUGCCGCGUGAGUGAUGAAGGCCCCAGGGUUGUAAAGCUCUUUCGCACGCGAGGAUGAUGACGCUAGCGUGAGAAGAAGCCCCGGCUAACUUCGUGCCAGCAGCCGC
Molecule: ribosomal RNA, 445 nt
Filed under: uncultured bacterium
Lineage: Bacteria
Description: SSU rRNA
Rfam family: Bacterial small subunit ribosomal RNA
Source: RNAcentral